RNAcentral lists this ribosomal RNA (251 nucleotides) under uncultured bacterium. RNAcentral's name for it is "partial 16S ribosomal RNA". It matches the Rfam family "Bacterial small subunit ribosomal RNA", at positions 526 to 778 of the family's 1533-position model. The record is from RNAcentral.
CAGAGGCCUCAAGCGUUGUUCGGAAUCACUGGGCGUAAAGGGUGCGUAGGCGGCGCGGAAAGUCAGGGUGAAAUCCCGGAGCUCAACUCCGGAACUGCCUUUGAUACUCCCGCGCUUGAGAACUGGAGGGGAGAUCGGAAUUCACGGUGGAGCAGUGAAAUGCGUGGAUAUCGUGAGGAACACUAGUGGCGAAGGCGGAUCUCUGGACAGUAUCUGACGCUGAGGCACGAAGGCCAGGGAGCGAACGGAUU